Long non-coding RNA from Centrocercus urophasianus (Greater sage-grouse), 968 nucleotides. RefSeq lists it as uncharacterized. Lineage: Eukaryota; Metazoa; Chordata; Aves; Galliformes; Phasianidae. The transcript is spliced from 3 exons. The record is from RefSeq and is a predicted model, not a curated record.
AGCCUGCUUCUCUCCAUGUAGAGAUACUCUUCUGAGUUGUGCUCUCUGCAGUGCACCUCCCUUGGAAGAGAGGGAGCCAGACUUCUGUUUCCAGUGCAACACAAAUAUGAAUUUCUUUGUGCUCAUUCACAGGGGGAUGAUUUUGCAAACGAUCAUUUACCAUCAGGCUGGUUAAUCAUUUCAUGGCUAUCAGCACCCCGCCUUUCUGCAUCUCAUUUGAGGAUGAUUUCUCUACAUCACAGGUAGUAAAACCCAGUCGGUCUCGUUAUGCAAUUCAAGCAGGCAGCUCAGAGCCAAACCUCUGCUCCUGUCUUUUUUUCUGUGAAGACAAGACUCAUCACCUGGGAUUUGUUGACCUGCAGAGGAAAGAAGCUGAUCUUUCUUCUCAGCUCUGUGGGAGUCCCUAAUGCCAAGACACACUUCACUGGGAAAUCAAUAUAAAUAAAAAGCAGUGAAAUGUCUUUGUUGUGAAGCAACCUCUUUGCAUCGCUUGUGAGCUCAUGCAGAGGGCACAUCCCAAUCGCCAGCCUAACUGAGCAAGUAGCAACACCAUCGAUUCAGAGUCCAUCUUACUUCACAUCCUCUCCUGCACAUCGAUUCAGCCUUAUUCCCCAUCUCAGCUUGUCCCCUAUGGUCAAUUGAUUAAUCAUCAAUAUUACUCACCAAAGGCAGCUACAAUUAAACAGGCAUUAGAUGACUUCCCCUCACGUUUAAUAGCACCGAGCUCAAUCAGAUACCUAACACUUUGCCUUCCUUGGAAAAUUUUAACCGAUAUCCAGUUGAAAUCAAAUUCUGUAAAUUUGGCAGGGCAAUUGAUCACAGUGCACAAAGGUUCAGACUACUGAAUUUCCAGAAUGUGAGCCUGUAGGUUUCUGUGCAGAGCAGCAUUUCAGUUCUUGGAACCUCUUUUUGUUUAAUAUUGUCAUGAGAUGUACUGUGGCACUGUAUAAUACAAUAAUGAUGUUGGU